UGGGGAAUAUUUCACAAUGGGCGCAAGCCUGAUGCAGCCAUGCCGCGUGUAUGAAGAAGGCCUUCGGGUUGUAAAGUACUUUCAGUCGGGAGGAAGGUGGUCAGGUUAAUAACCUUAUCAAUUGACGUUACCGACAGAAGAAGCACCGGCUAACUCCGUGCCAGCAGCCGCGGUAAUACGGAGGGUGCAAGCGUUAAUCGGAAUUACUGGGCGUAAAGCGCACGCAGGCGGUUGAUUGAGUCAGAUGUGAAAUCCCCGGGCUUAACCCGGGAAUUGCAUCUGAUACGGGUCAGCUAGAGUCUUGUAGAGGGGGGUAGAAUUCCAUGGGUAGCGGUGAAAUGCGUAGAGAUGUGGAGGAAUACCGGUGGCGAAGGCGGCCCCCUGGACAAAGACUGACGCUCAGGGGCGAAAGCGUGGGGAGCAAACAGG
This 429-nucleotide ribosomal RNA is filed under the name Chloroflexota bacterium. Its description in RNAcentral is "Chloroflexi bacterium partial 16S ribosomal RNA". It matches the Rfam family "Bacterial small subunit ribosomal RNA", at positions 355 to 776 of the family's 1533-position model. Lineage: Bacteria; Bacillati; Chloroflexota. The record is from RNAcentral.